This 450-nucleotide ribosomal RNA is filed under the name uncultured Diversispora. RNAcentral describes it as "SSU rRNA". It matches the Rfam family "Eukaryotic small subunit ribosomal RNA", at positions 569 to 1022 of the family's 1831-position model. Lineage: Eukaryota; Fungi; Glomeromycota; Glomeromycetes; Diversisporales; Diversisporaceae. The record is from RNAcentral.
AGCAGCCGCGGUAAUUCCAGCUCCAAUAGCGUAUAUUAAAGUUGUUGCAGUUAAAAAGCUCGUAGUUGAACUUCGGGGUUUACCCAUUGGUCAGGCUUAAUUGUCUGUACUGGUGAGAUGAAUCUCUACCUUCUGAGGAACUUUCAUGCCAUUUAUUUGGUGUGAUGGGAAAUCAGGACUGUUACUUUGAAAAAUUAGAGUGUUUAAAGCAGGCUAACGUCUGAAUACAUUAGCAUGGAAUAAUGAAAUAGGACGGACUGAUUCUAUUUCGUUGGUUUCUAGGAUCACCGUAAUGAUUAAUAGGGAUAGUUGGGGGCAUUAGUAUUCAAUUGUCAGAGGUGAAAUUCUUGGAUUUAUUGAAGACUAACUACUGCGAAAGCAUUUGCCAAGGAUGUUUUCAUUAAUCAAGAACGAAAGUUAGGGGAUCGAAGACGAUCAGAUACCGUCGUA